UUGGAGGGCAAGUCUGGUGCCAGCAGCCGCGGUAAUUCCAGCUCCAAUAGCGUAUAUUAAAGUUGUUGCAGUUAAAAAGCUCGUAGUUGAAUUUCGGGAUCGACGGGUCGGUCGCGCCUCUGGUGUGUACUGGCCCUGUCGGUUUCUCCCUUCUGACGAACCACGAUGUCAUUAAUUUGGUGUCGUGGGAAAUCAGGACUGUCACUUUGAAAAAAUUAGAGUGUUUAAAGCAGGCAUUCGCUUGAAUACAUUAGCAUGGAAUAAUGAAAUAGGACGUUUGAUCUUAUUUUGUUGGUUUCUAAGAUCGACGUAAUGAUUAAUAGGGAUAGCUGGGGGCAUUAGUAUUCAAUUGUCAGAGGUGAAAUUCUUGGAUUUAUUGAAGACUAACUACUGCGAAAGCAUUUGCCAAGGAUGUUUUCAUUAAUCAAGAACGAAAGUUAGGGGAUCGAAGACGAUCAGAUACCGUCGUAGUCUUAACCAUAAACUAUGCCGACUAGGGAUCGGAUGAUGUUAAUUUUUUAAUGACUCAUUCGGCGCCUUACGGGAAACCAAAGUGUUUGGGU
Molecule: ribosomal RNA, 563 nt
Filed under: uncultured Glomus
Lineage: Eukaryota; Fungi; Glomeromycota; Glomeromycetes; Glomerales; Glomeraceae
Description: SSU rRNA
Rfam family: Eukaryotic small subunit ribosomal RNA
Source: RNAcentral